UUUUAUAAAUGAAAAUCCAUCAUGGAAAUUAAAAUCUAUUCAACCCAAAAUAAUUGAAAUUCACGCAGAUCGUUUCUCUCUGAUUCAACCCAAAAUCUAUUCAACCCAUAAUCCUUUUUAAAAUCUCUGCAAAUGUUAUACAGCAAUAUUCUGUUUUUCUCUUGUCGGUUGUGUGCAGAUACUUCUCACAAUUGUUCUCAUCUUUACAUUCAGAUUCAUAACACCCACUUUAUAAUUGAAACAACACAGAUGCACUCAAAAUCAAUUCUUUCAUAAGAAAUCAAAAUGGCAUAUGUAAUAUGUAUGCAUAUGCUCAUCUAUACAGAAGCAAUUAGAAAACCUAUAAUGACAUAAAAGGGUAUUUGAGGUGAGUUGUUG
This 378-nucleotide long non-coding RNA is filed under the name Salvia miltiorrhiza (redroot sage). RNAcentral's name for it is "long non-coding RNA (SMIL_LNC000184)". The record is from RNAcentral. Lineage: Eukaryota; Viridiplantae; Streptophyta; Magnoliopsida; Lamiales; Lamiaceae.